GACGAACGCUGGCGGCGUGCCUAACACAUGCAAGUCGAACGGAAAGGCCCUGCUUUUGUGGGCUGCUCGAGUGGCGAACGGGUGAGCUACACGUGAGUUACCUGCCCCUGACUUUGGGAUAUCUUCAGGCCACUGGGGUUAAUACCGGAUAGGAGCUCCUGCCGCUUGGUGGGGCUUGGAAAGUUUCGGUGGUUGGGGAUGGACUCGCGGCUUAUCAGCUUGGUCGUGGGGUAGUGGCUUACCAAGGCAUUGAUGGGUAGCCGGGCUGCGAGGGUGACCGGCCACGUUAGGACGGAAAUGCGGCCCGGACUCGUACGGGAGGCAGGAGUGCGGAAUAUAAAACAAUGGGCGGAAGCCUGAUGCAGCAACGCCGCGUGCGGUGUGACGGGAAUCGGGUAGUAAACCGCUUUCGCCUGUGACGAAACGAUAAUGACGGUAAUGGGUGAAGAAGCACCGGCUAACUACGUG
Molecule: ribosomal RNA, 468 nt
Filed under: uncultured bacterium
Lineage: Bacteria
Description: partial 16S ribosomal RNA
Rfam family: Bacterial small subunit ribosomal RNA
Source: RNAcentral